Ixodes scapularis (black-legged tick) is the source of this 911-nucleotide long non-coding RNA. RefSeq lists it as uncharacterized. The record is from RefSeq and is a predicted model, not a curated record. The transcript is spliced from 3 exons. Lineage: Eukaryota; Metazoa; Arthropoda; Arachnida; Ixodida; Ixodidae.
AUGCUUAUCUGGGUUCAACAAGAAUGAAAAGGUAUUCGAGUGAGUGGCCGACUCCGGUGCCGUGUCCACACGCCUCAACGAGAAAGUUUAAAAUCCUCAUAGGAUCUUCCUACGGGACUCUAGUAACGAAAAAGCGCUUGUAACUCCCGAUGCGGAAGGAAAAUGACUACGAAUUGAAGCGGUGCUCAAAGCAGGAAGGGGACUGCUUUGUCAGCCAGUAAAUGCGGUCUGGGCUGGACAUAAUUUCCAGGCAAGUAAACGAGCAUUGUCAUGUUGUGCCCCCUGUCCACAGUGAUGUGCCCCCCAUCUACAGUGGCAGUUGCACUGAUCUUCUCAACAUCGCCCCCUGGCUCGCACGACUGGCAGAGCAGCAAGGAUGGCUCGUUCUCCCUAGGUUAUGUGAUGCUGUGCACGGAGUGAUAAUUUCAACUACCCGACGAGUAUUGUGCCUGGAGCAAGUCUUCGACUGGUGUGUUUAGCGUCCUUUGCUGCCCGUACAUCAAAAGUGGUCCGAAAGUGGCAACAAAUGACGUCACGGAAGCCGAAGUGUCACGCUGUUGCAUGUUGCGAUCCUGGCGGUUGGCCAUUGAAACGUUAAAGAGCAGCUGCGAGUACCACGAGGCGAACGCGAGUGUCGCUGUCGUCACGGCGUCCCAACUACUGGAUGCUGAAGCUUCAGUGGACUGUCGAACUGUAGAGCGACCUGCAGUAGAACAGGCGUCUGCCACAUCAACCACCGCUGCUGGGACACCGCCAGGAUUGCGACCGGCGACAUCAUGACACUUGUAUGAUGCACCGGGCAGAAAUUGAGGGAUUACUUCUUUGGACACAGUAGACACACCAGUCGGAGAUGCAUUCCAGGCACCAUACCUAUCUAUACAGUACCACUCUGGCUUCAUUUUGCUUGUUUU